GUCCCCGUAGCGCAGUGGAUAGCGCGCUGGACUUCUAAUCCAGAGGUCGCGGGUUCGAGUCCCGCCGGGGAUG
This 73-nucleotide transfer RNA is filed under the name Mercenaria mercenaria. RNAcentral's name for it is "transfer RNA arginine (anticodon UCU)". It matches the Rfam family "tRNA". From Rfam's summary of the family: Transfer RNA (tRNA) molecules are approximately 80 nucleotides in length. Their secondary structure includes four short double-helical elements and three loops (D, anti-codon, and T loops). RNAcentral also lists the same sequence under 1 other name. The record is from RNAcentral. Lineage: Eukaryota; Metazoa; Mollusca; Bivalvia; Venerida; Veneridae.